UUAAAAUACUGGACCCAUUAUCAUGCACCUUAAUGAAAAGUUAUGAACUAGCUCCCCCAUAACUGUAUCAUUUUAAGGACCUAAUAAUUUUGAAGAUUUAAUUAUAUGUUUAAGAAAAGAGAUUAACUAGCAAUCAACAUCCUCCCACUGACUUCACCAAGUCUUUGAAGAGGACUAGAGACUAAGCUGAUUAAGAGGCACCUAAAUCAGUCAUACUAAUAACUUAAUAUCCUCCCACUGACUUCACCAAGUCAUGAGAGGA
RNAcentral lists this long non-coding RNA (262 nucleotides) under Elaeis guineensis (African oil palm). RNAcentral describes it as "long non-coding RNA (EGUI_LNC031070)". Lineage: Eukaryota; Viridiplantae; Streptophyta; Magnoliopsida; Arecales; Arecaceae. The record is from RNAcentral.